UACGGAGGGUGCAAGCGUUAUCCGGAAUUACUGGGCGUAAAGCGUGCGUAGUCGGUUAUUUAAGUCGGAUGUGAAAUCCCCGGGCUCAACCUGGGAAUUGCAUUCGAUACUGGAUAGCUAGAGUUCGGCAGAGGGAAGCGGAAUUUCUGGUGUAGCGGUGAAAUGCGUAGAUAUCAGAAGGAACAUCAGUGGCGAAAGCGGCUUCCUGGACCAGAACUGACGAUCAGGCACGAAAGCGUGGGGAGCAAACAGG
This 253-nucleotide ribosomal RNA is filed under the name uncultured bacterium. RNAcentral describes it as "partial 16S ribosomal RNA". It matches the Rfam family "Bacterial small subunit ribosomal RNA", at positions 524 to 776 of the family's 1533-position model. The record is from RNAcentral.